AAAAGGUUUUGGGGAAGAUGUUGUCCCUACUGGCAGAGGAUGAAGUGGUAAGAAGCUGAGAGAGGGUUGAGACAGAGGGAAGCAGACUCUCUUCCCCGCGGCGCCCUCAUGAUCAGCAUCACAUCUUUAAAGGUACCUUCAUCACCUCUUCCUUUCUUUCUUUUUUCCACUGCCUCCAUGUCAAUGCUGGACAGGAGCAUGAGUGAAGCAUGAGUUUCCUUCCAUUUUCAAAACAAACCUUUAACUUAGAAUGAAGGUGAAAGAAUGUAUUUUUUCCUAAAUCAACAGUGUAAACUGGCUGGACUGUUUUGUAAAAAUAUCACACCCUCUGGAUGUUUCAUGAGCUGAUUUGCAUGGUACCAGAUGAGUUUCUUUUUUCCUCUUUCAAUCAGCUCAAGUAAAUAUACAACAUGCAGCCAAAUUACAUCCUCUUACAGGAAGAGAGAUUUCAAAAUCUUUUCUUAUUGUUUACCUGAAUCUGUUUGUUCACAGUUUCUCAGACAGGCAAGAUAUCCUCAGAACAAAGUUACUAAAAGGAUUUUCAGGUGACACAGGCUGCAGCUGGAAGUUAGUUAUGUAACUUUGGUUUUGUGGCUCUUUCCAUUUUCACGGUGUACAGCAGAUACUAAUUAACAUGGAAAUUGAUUUGUGUGCUUGAGCAUUCCAGCUAGCUGCAACAAGCAUUUCACGCUCUGCGUUGGAAAAUGUUCUCAUUGCUUCUUUGGUAAUGCUGAGCCAUGGACAGAUGACAAUGACAGUUCACUUUUGUCACUCUGUGAAUGAAGGAGUAAAUAAGUGCCCCAUCCACAGAACCACGGAGCUCAUGUAAUCCACUCAAAAAGGGACCCUGGUCCAGCAACUUUGAUGCAACCUGACUUUCCUUGGACACUUCCAGUGACAGGAGACUCACUACUGUCGUCCAGCUGUUUGCCAUGGCUCUGCUAGGUCUGAGUUAAAGGGGGUCACUCACACGACUGUUUCCCCUUUUGGAGCUCCCAGUGAGAGGCCACAACCCCACGGCAACUGGAAAGAUGCCCAUCUAAUAGUCUACCCCCUCUAAGGUCAGAAUUCUCUCAUAAAGGUGCAGUGGCAUGCACCUGGAGUCCCAGCUACUCAGGAGGCUGAGGUGGGAAGAUUGCUUGAGCCCAGGAGUUCAAGUCCAGUCUAAGCAGCACGGCAAGACUCCAUCUCUUAAAAAAAAAAAAAAAAAAAAAAUCUCCCAUAAAGCUUGCUCCUUUGCAGGAAAGGAUUUCUAAAAGGCAUUCUUUGGAAACUCCAACGUAAAGCAAAAUCUAUUAGACAUCUAGGAUAUGGUCUUGAAAUUAAUGUUAAGUGAGAACUGACAUAUCAAAGAUUUCUGGAGAAACAAGUCAGAAAUUAAGGUGUCAGCAGGGCCACACUCUCUCUCUGGAGGAUCUAGGGGAAAAUUUUGUUUCCUGGCUUUCUGCCUUUAGAAGCUGCC
RNAcentral lists this long non-coding RNA (1462 nucleotides) under Homo sapiens (human). Its description in RNAcentral is "HSALNT0024549". Lineage: Eukaryota; Metazoa; Chordata; Mammalia; Primates; Hominidae. The record is from RNAcentral.